AUUGAACGCUGGCGGCAGGCCUAACACAUGCAAGUCGAGCGGAUGAAGGGAGCUUGCUCCUGGAUUCAGCGGCGGACGGGUGAGUAAUGCCUAGGAAUCUGCCUGGUAGUGGGGGAUAACGUCCGUAAACGGGCGCUAAUACCGCAUACGUCCUGAUGGAGAACGUGGGGGAUCUUCGGACCUCACGCUAUCAGAUGAGCCUAGGUCGGAUUAGCUAGUUGGUGGGGUAAAGGCCUACCAAGGCGACGAUCCGUAACUGGUCUGAGAGGAUGAUCAGUCACACUGGAACUGAGACACGGUCCAGACUCCUACGGGAGGCAGCAGUGGGGAAUAUUGGACAAUGGGCGAAAGCCUGAUCCAGCAAUGCCGCGUGUGUGAAGAAGGUCUUCGGAUUGUAAAGCACUUUAAGUUGGGAGGAAGGGAAGUAAGUGAAUACCUGGCUGUUUUGACGGUACCAACAGAAUAAGCACCGGCUAACUUCGUG
This 484-nucleotide ribosomal RNA is filed under the name uncultured bacterium. RNAcentral describes it as "partial 16S ribosomal RNA". It matches the Rfam family "Bacterial small subunit ribosomal RNA", at positions 30 to 507 of the family's 1533-position model. The record is from RNAcentral.